UUGACCGUGCAAGUACCUAUAUAGCUCCUGAGAUUUAUAAAGAUGAAAUAUUCGAUAGAAGCGUGGAUGUAUAUGCUUUUGGAGUGUUACUUUAUGAGAUGAUGGAGGGAUCACCACCAUUUCAUCCCAAGUCACCUGAAGAGGCUGCUAGAUUGAUGUGCAAAGAGGGUAAAAGACCACCGUUCAAGUCAAAAUCUAAGUACCCGCCGGACCUUAGAGAGUUGAUUGAAG
This 231-nucleotide unclassified non-coding RNA is filed under the name Hevea brasiliensis (rubber tree). Lineage: Eukaryota; Viridiplantae; Streptophyta; Magnoliopsida; Malpighiales; Euphorbiaceae. The record is from RNAcentral.